UGUAAGAUCGGGAUAACUACCGGAAACGGUAGCUAAGACCGGAUAGCUGGUUUUCGGUGCAUGCCGGAAUCAUGAAACACGGGGCAACCUGUGGCUUACAGAUGGGCCUGCGGCGCAUUAGCUAGUUGGCGGGGUAAUGGCCCACCAAGGCGACGAUGCGUAGCCGACCUGAGAGGGUGAUCGGCCACACUGGGACUGAGACACGGCCCAGACUCCUACGGGAGGCAGCAGUAGGGAAUCUUCCGCAAUGGGCGCAAGCCUGACGGAGCAACGCCGCGUGAGUGAUGAAGGUUUUCGGAUCGUAAAGCUCUGUUGCCAGGGAAGAACGUCGUGGAGAGUAACUGCUCUGCGAAUGACGGUACCUGAGAAGAAAGCCCCGGCUAACUACGUGCCAGCAGCCGCGGUAAUACGUAGGGGGCAAGCGUUGUCCGGAAUUAUUGGGCGUAAAGCGCGCGCAGGCGGUCUUUUAAGUCUGGUGUUUAAGCCCGGGGCUCAACCCCGGUUCGCACCGGAAACUGGAAGACUUGAGUGCAGGAGAGGAAAGCGGAAUUCCACGUGUAGCGGUGAAAUGCGUAGAGAUGUGGAGGAACACCAGUGGCGAAGGCGGCUUUUUGUUUUUGUAACUGAAGGUUAAGGCCCCACACCAGCAU
Molecule: ribosomal RNA, 650 nt
Filed under: Paenibacillus validus
Lineage: Bacteria; Bacillati; Bacillota; Bacilli; Caryophanales; Paenibacillaceae
Description: bacterial SSU rRNA
Rfam family: Bacterial small subunit ribosomal RNA
Source: RNAcentral